Non-coding RNA from Macaca mulatta (Rhesus monkey), 2596 nucleotides. Lineage: Eukaryota; Metazoa; Chordata; Mammalia; Primates; Cercopithecidae. The record is from RefSeq and is a predicted model, not a curated record.
UUUUGUCUUUGUUGUGAAGUGCAAGUUCCUCAUGUGAAUUGUUAUAUACUUGACCUCUGGCUAGGAAGAGUGUUUUAUGGCAGCCCCAUUUAAUUCUUCCUGGUCCAGCCAUGCACAGGUUUCUACUGCACUAAGCAUCUUCACCACACACUCCUGUAACCACACUUCUGCCAAACUGAAUAGUCUUUAUAGCAGGCCCCUACAAACAAUAAAAGCAAGUUUCUUUAUUUGGGUUUGGAGAAUAAAAAAAGAAACGGAACCAACUACCCGCUCUUUAUUAUCUCAUUCUAGGUCCAAGAGAAGAUACCCUCAUGAAUUGGCAUUCUCUCCUUGGGAUAGAUGGGAGAACUCUGUGUGUGAUGUGAUUGACCUCUCUUGGACUUGAGCUCAGUUAUGUGGUUUCCUCUAUUUCCUGUCCUGGGAAGAGAUGAAAGAGUAGCCCUGAGCCACUGUGCAGCAGCAUCCAGACACCAUGGCUAGAAUCCCAAAUUCUUAGCCUCAGUCUAUGAGCUGGGCUUAGAUCUUUGAUUAUGUUGCCCUUUCCUCCCAAACAGGGCUGCCUCCUCAGUGGUUCCUCUCUCCCAGUCUUGUCACAUGACAUAUGUGGUUCCUCUCUUAGUGCUUUAUUUCCUCUACCAAACAUCCAUUCAGAAAGAAUUAUUAUUGUCACACUGGUUUUAGCUCAUUUAGGAGAAAUAAAAUUUAAAAAAUAUUUCUAAAUAAAUAAAUUUAUUCUUUUAGCUAGCUCAUGCUGACCAAUAUAUAAGAUAUUUUCUGAUUCAUCAUAUAUUUUAAGCCAAAACACACUUGCCAUCUGAACCCUAAACACAUAAGUAGAACGUUUCCCUUUCUUUCGCUAAGGGACAAAUUUCAUAAUAUUUUGUGCAAAAUGCACAUACACAGGUGAGCAUUUUCCUUCCCUUCUCACCUCCCAAAGUCAGGUAAUGAAAAAACCUUAGAAACUUGUACAAGAAUUUAAUUGAAAUUAGAUCUUUAAAAAAUUAGAUAAUUCUCAAUUCUCUGCUUCUAAUUCACCAGAUUUUGCAUGCUCCUUUGGGCAUUCUCUCUUUCUCCUCACAGUUUCCUGGUUGCCAUCACACAAAAUGAUCCUUGCUAAAGGUAUCAGCAUCAAUCCCUAACCUCUCAUUCUUCAACUAUCCAUUUAAAUUCCAUCAAUAGGCUCAUGCAAAUUAUAGAUGUUGUGAAUAAUUCUUUUAUUGGGAGAAAUUGAAAGAACACUAUUUUAACAGUUUAAAGUAAUCAGCAUCAAAUUAACCUUGCUUAGUCUUGUUCUCAACUAGCAGCUAGUCUUCUGACCAGUCCCAUGACCAAGUGCCCACAUUUGUCACCAAUAGCUGAAUAUCUGACAUAGCCAUCUUUGAGUAUUUACCUGGAAAACCUACUCAUCCUUUUCAUUCUAUUCCUUUGUCUUCAUUCUCUCAUCCAUUCUCUUAUGCUGUGGCAUCCUACCCACUACCUCUUCAUUAGUUAAGUGGUUGUUUCUUUCUGUCUACCCAGACUUCCUGGUGCCAAUUCAUGUCCUGCCCACAUUUUUGCUGCUUGCCUCCUGCUUCCCUUUCCUCCAUAGUCAUGUUUACACUGACUUUCUUCUGAGACAUCAUCUGUAACCUCUUUAAGAACCUUCCUUAUGUUGAUGACCUAUCUAAGGGGCCAUCUGUCACCCACAUGGUACUAUUUUAGCACUAGGAAAGGUGGAAACUGCUCAGAAUAUUUAUCACAUGUCUUUAAUAGGAUCCUAACUUUCAUGUACGACUUCUGAAGAUACAUUAUAAGAGAAAUCCAAACUGCAGAACAAAGGUCAUAGAAGCCAAGACUGGAAAGAAUAGAAGCAAGAUAAAUGCGAGUAACUAUCACGUCGAAAGCCUACUUUCACCUUUUCUUCAUUUUCCUUCUAUUUUUCUUCAUUUUCUAAAUGUCUCUAAUGAUUAGUAUGGUAGACAACCUCUAACAUGGCCUCUUGUUGUACUCACCUUGUGCAGUUCACACCUGGAUAGUCUCUCCUCUUGUUGAGGGUGAGCUGUACUUGUUUCUAACCAAUAGAUUGUGGUCAAGAUGAUGGGAUGUCACUUUCAUAAUUAGAUUACAAAAGAUUGUGACUUAUAUCUUACUAGCAGACUUUAUCACCUUCUUGGCUUUCAUGCUUUGAUAAACAAGCUGCCAUCUGGGAGAAGCCCACCUGGCAAGGAAUUGAGGGCAGCCUCUGGUCAACAGCCAACAAGGAACAGGGGGCUUUAUCCCAACAACCUGCAAGAAAAUGAAUGCUGCCAAAACCACCUAUUGAGCUUGGAAAUAGCAUCAAUCAAGCCUUCCUCAGCCAAGCCUUCCGAUGACACUGCAGACUUUGAUUGAAGCCUUGUUAGAGAACAUAAAGCAGAAGAUCCAGUUAAGCUGUACUCAGAUUCCUGACCCUUGGAAACUGUGAGACAAUGAAAAUGUGCUGUUUUCAACUACUAAAUAUUGGAGUUAUUUGUUACAGAGCAAUAACCAACUAGCAUAUGAAGGUAUUGUUUUUAUAACACAGUAGUAAACUUCUUUUAAAAAGGAUAUUCAAAUAAAAUGAAUUUGAAAUGGUAAA